This 71-nucleotide transfer RNA is filed under the name Urosaurus graciosus. RNAcentral describes it as "tRNA-Ala". Lineage: Eukaryota; Metazoa; Chordata; Lepidosauria; Squamata; Phrynosomatidae. The record is from RNAcentral.
UAAAACCUGUGUAACACUAAUACACAUCUCCUGAAUGCAAACCAGACACUUUAAUUAAGCUAAGGCUUCAC